Molecule: ribosomal RNA, 497 nt
Filed under: uncultured bacterium
Lineage: Bacteria
Description: partial 16S ribosomal RNA
Rfam family: Bacterial small subunit ribosomal RNA
Source: RNAcentral
GAUGAACGCUGGCGGCGUGCCUAAUACAUGCAAGUCGAGCGAACGGACGAGAAGCUUGCUUCUCUGAUGUUAGCGGCGGACGGGUGAGUAACACGUGGAUAACCUACCUAUAAGACUGGGAGAACUUCGGGAAACCGGAGCUAAUACCGGAUAAUAUUUUGAACCGCAUGGUUCAAAAGUGAAAGACGGUCUUGCUGUCACUUAUAGAUGGAUCCGCGCUGCAUUAGCUAGUUGGUAAGGUAACGGCUUACCAAGGCAACGAUGCAUAGCCGACCUGAGAGGAUGAUCGGCCACACUGGAACUGAGACACGGUCCAGACUCCUACGGGAGGCAGCAGUAGGGAAUCUUCCGCAAUGGGCGCAAGCCUGACGGAGCAACGCCGCGUGAGUGAUGAAGGUCUUCGGAUCGUAAAACUCUGUUAUUAGGGAAGAAAAUAUGUGUAAGUAACUGUGCACAUCUUGACGGUACCUAAUCAGAAAGCCACGGCUAACUACGUG